AGUCACUGACAUUAGAUACCCGUGUAGUCCAGGGUGUAAACGUUGCAGGCUUGGUGUUGGAGGCCCUCCGGAGGGCGUUCAGUGCCGGAGAGAAGUUGUUAAGCCUGUUACGUUGGGGAGUACGUCCGCAAGGAUGAAACUUAAAGGAAUUGGCGGGGGAGCACCGCAACGGGAGGAGCGUGCGGUUUAAUUGGAUUCAACACCGGAAAACUCACCAGGGGAGACUGUUACAUGAAACCCAGACUAAUGAUCUUGGUUGAUUUUCAG
This 267-nucleotide ribosomal RNA is filed under the name uncultured archaeon. Its description in RNAcentral is "partial 16S ribosomal RNA". It matches the Rfam family "Archaeal small subunit ribosomal RNA", at positions 717 to 982 of the family's 1478-position model. The record is from RNAcentral.